GAAGGAGAGGAGGCCGACGGGCUCCAGGCCGGAGCAACGCCGCUCCCAGACGGCGACCGGUCGCCCAAUUUCGAAAGGUAGCAGCAGCAGCAGCGCUGAUUCCUUGAGAAUCAGGGCUCGAUGUUGGGGAGGAAAGAGGACGGCGCCGGGGCUGAGACGCGUCGACAGAUGACGCCGGCCGAAGCAAGUGAUGGCUGAACGGCCGGAGGAGGCGCAGCCGGCCAGAUUUAGCCGGAGGAGAAGAGGCCGAUCGGCCUUGAGGAAGAGAGGGAGCGUCGGUUCUUGAG
This 287-nucleotide long non-coding RNA is filed under the name Salvia miltiorrhiza (redroot sage). RNAcentral's name for it is "long non-coding RNA (SMIL_LNC001282)". The record is from RNAcentral. Lineage: Eukaryota; Viridiplantae; Streptophyta; Magnoliopsida; Lamiales; Lamiaceae.